This 756-nucleotide ribosomal RNA is filed under the name Bacillus licheniformis. RNAcentral's name for it is "bacterial SSU rRNA". It matches the Rfam family "Bacterial small subunit ribosomal RNA", at positions 115 to 866 of the family's 1533-position model. Lineage: Bacteria; Bacillati; Bacillota; Bacilli; Caryophanales; Bacillaceae. The record is from RNAcentral.
ACGUGGGUAACCUGCCUGUAAGACUGGGAUAACUCCGGGAAACCGGGGCUAAUACCGGAUCUUGAUUGAACCGCAUGGUUCAAUUAUAAAAGGUGGCUUUACCUACCACUUACAGAUGGACCCGCGGCGCAUUAGCUAGUUGGUGAGGUAACGGCUCACCAAGGCAACGAUGCGUAGCCGACCUGAGAGGGUGAUCGGCCACACUGGGACUGAGACACGGCCCAACUCCUACGGGAGGCACAUAGGGAAUCUUCCGCAAUGGACAAAGUCUGACGGACACGCCCGUGAUGAUGAAGGUUUUCGGAUCGUAAAACUCUGUUGUUAGGGAARAACAAUACCGUUCGAAUAGGGCGGUACCUUGACGGUACCUAACCAAAGCCACGGCUAACUACUGCCACAGCCGCGGUAAUACUAGGUGGCAAGCGUUGUCCGGAAUUAUUGGGCGUAAAGCGCGCGCAGGCGGUUUCUUAAGUCUGAUGUGAAAGCCCCCGGCUCAMCCGGGAGGGUCAUUGAAACUGGGGAACUUGAGUGCAGAAAGGAAGUGAAUUCCACGUGUACGGUGAAAUGCCGUAAGAUGUGGAAGGAAACACCAGUGGCCGAAGGCGACUCUCUGGUCUGUAACUUGACGCUGAAGGCCGCGAAAGCCGUGGGGAGCGAACAGGAUUAGAAUACCCUGGUAGUCCACCGCCGUAAAACGAUGAGUGCUAAGUUGUAGAGGGUUUCCGCCCUUUAGGUGCUGCAGCAAACGCAUAAGCG